Molecule: ribosomal RNA, 390 nt
Filed under: uncultured Thermus sp.
Lineage: Bacteria; Thermotogati; Deinococcota; Deinococci; Thermales; Thermaceae
Description: bacterial SSU rRNA
Rfam family: Bacterial small subunit ribosomal RNA
Source: RNAcentral
AACCCGGGUGAAAGCCUGGGGUGCCCCGCGAGGGGAGCCCUAGCACAGGUGCUGCAUGGCCGUCGUCAGCUCGUGCCGUGAGGUGUUGGGUUAAGUCCCGCAACGAGCGCAACCCCCGCCGUUAGUUGCCAGCGGUUCGGCCGGGCACUCUAACGGGACUGCCCGCGAAAGCGGGAGGAAGAGGGACGACGUCUGGUCAGCAUGGCCCUUACGGCCUGGGCGACACACGUGCUACAAUGCCCACUACAAAGCGAGGCCACCCGGCAACGGGGAGCUAAUCGCAAAAAGGUGGGCCCAGUUCGGAUUGGGGUCUGCAACCCGACCCCAUGAAGCCGGAAUCGCUAGUAAUCGCGGAUCAGCCAUGCCGCGGUGAAUACGUUCCCGGGCCUU